This 394-nucleotide ribosomal RNA is filed under the name uncultured bacterium. RNAcentral's name for it is "partial 16S ribosomal RNA". It matches the Rfam family "Bacterial small subunit ribosomal RNA", at positions 523 to 918 of the family's 1533-position model. The record is from RNAcentral.
AUACGUAGGGGGCUAGCGUUAUCCGGAAUUACUGGGCGUAAAGGGUGCGUAGGUGGUUUCUUAAGUCAGAAGUGAAAGGCUACGGCUCAACCGUAGUAAGCUUUUGAAACUAAGAGACUUGAGUGCAGGAGAGGAGAGUAGAAUUCCUAGUGUAGCGGUGAAAUGAGUAGAUAUUAGGAGGAAUACCAGUUGCGAAGGCGGCUCUCUGGACUGUAACUGACACUGAGGCACGAAAGCGUGGGGAGCAAACAGGAUUAGAUACCCUGGUAGUCCACGCCGUAAACGAUGAGUACUAGCUGUCGGGGGUUACCCCCCUCGGUGGCGCAGCUAACGCAUUAAGUACUCCGCCUGGGAAGUACGCUCGCAAGGCUGAAACUCAAAUGAAUUGACGGGG